UAGCUGGUCUGAGAGGACGAUCAGCCACACUGGCACUGCGACACGGGCCAGUCUCCUACGGGAGGCAGCAGUAAGGAAUAUUGCGCAAUGGGCGAAAGCCUGACGCAGCGACGCCGCGUGGGGGAUGAAGGUCUUCGGAUUGUAAACCCCUUUCGGGAGAGAAGAUGGAAUGGGGUAACCCCUUCGGACGGUACCUCCAGAAGCAGCCACGGCUAACUUCGUGCCAGCAGCCGCGGUAAUACGAAGGUGGCAAGCGUUCUUCGGAUUUACUGGGCGUACAGGGAGCGUAGGCGGAUCGGUAAACCCUCUGUGAAAUCUUCAGGCUUAACUUGGAAAAGUCGGAGGGGACUGCCGGGCUAAAGGACGGGAGAGGAGCGCGGAAUUCCCGGUGUAGCGGUGAAAUGCGUAGAGAUCGGGAGGAAGGCCGGUGGCGAAGGCGGCGCUCUGGAACGUUUCUGACGCUGAGGCUAGAAAGCGUGGGGAGCAAACAGGAUUAAAUACCCUGGUAGUCCACGCCUUAAACUAUGAAUAC
This 532-nucleotide ribosomal RNA is filed under the name uncultured Nitrospira sp. Its description in RNAcentral is "bacterial SSU rRNA". It matches the Rfam family "Bacterial small subunit ribosomal RNA", at positions 284 to 816 of the family's 1533-position model. Lineage: Bacteria; Pseudomonadati; Nitrospirota; Nitrospiria; Nitrospirales; Nitrospiraceae. The record is from RNAcentral.